RNAcentral lists this long non-coding RNA (2539 nucleotides) under Daphnia magna. Its description in RNAcentral is "uncharacterized LOC116924213, transcript variant X19". The record is from RNAcentral. Lineage: Eukaryota; Metazoa; Arthropoda; Branchiopoda; Diplostraca; Daphniidae.
UCUUGUUGAACUUUGAUGUUUUUAAAGCUACAUUACACUCGUUUUUUUGUAUAUUCCCCUCAAGAGAGUACAUUCUUACUGAGAGGAAAAAUAGCUAUAGUGGAGGAACCAGGGGUCUAUAACUCUGGUCUAGCUACAUCCAGCCAGAUAUUACAUACUAGUAGGACAGAAACAAAACUUUUGAAAAGUGCUGACAUAUUUUGGUUGCAGGUUUUCACUAAAUACCAAGAAGGGUGUUGCAGCUUUUAUUCCGUGUUUUUCUUGCUAUCAACAGUUGAUCCUACGAGCAACGACAGUUUUAGCUACAAAUGUUUAGCGCCUCGUCUUGCAACUAGUAGUUGAUAUUCUAGGUUUUUAAAUUUAAAAUUGGAAUCAACUGUCUGAGAUGUCGUUACCCCUGGCAGCCGGGGCAGGCGGGGGGCGCUAACGUCUGCUAACGUCAAAAUUGUCUAUUUCCCCCCGUCAGCUAAGGAGUACAAAGUACCUAUAUAAUAGUCUUUCUUUUCCUCUUAGUAUCACCUUAGUUAGACUUGUAGUUACUUGUCUCAUCAUUCUCGAUUUACACAACGACGACAUAUUGUGUUGCACGUUUCUUCGCUGUUUUAUUGUCCUUUGUAUAGAGCGUAAGUCCUUCUAAUAGACUAACAUAUCUGCAACCAAGGAUCUGCUUAGGGAGAGUGAGACGUCAGCAAAUACAACAACAGAAUCAUAUCCAAAUUGUAGCACGAAACUUGUACAGCUGUGAUACCUCCCAAACACCUAUGCAGUUUGGAAUGCUUGUCAGGCGAAUGCAGAUUAAUGUAAAAGAUGUCAAAUGUUAGACAUGUGGAAAAGGCCUGAUAGGAUGUGUGGGCGCCUUCGGUAACAUAGAUUGGAACAUAAGAUUUUUCAUGUUGGCUACACCAAGGCAGUAAUAACUGUGCUGCAAACAAUCUGCAAAACAUGCUUGUCUGUCCAUCUCAGUGAUGAGAUGACAAAUUUGUUGAGUAAAUCUGACUAAGGAAGCAAAUCUGAGAAGUGUUCCUAAAAGUAACUUGUCCCAGUGUGAUUUUCAUAGCAAUCCAUCAUUUGUUCCAAAGAUUUUUUUAUGAAGCUACAACAUAGAAGGUCUUGACCCAGUAAGCAUCAUACGGGGAGCUCCUAUGUAUGAAAGGAACUUUCUUCAGUAUUGAUACUGAGAUAAAUGACUUUGUUCUCAUCAACUUUCAGUUUAAAGAAACCAUUAACUCCUCAAAGACCACAAGUACACCUGUUACCACCACCUGGUUCCAAAUCAAUGAUUGCUUGGAUUCUAGAAAAAAACAAUGCUCGGUAAAGUAAAUUUUACAGUUGCCAACCACAAUAGUUCCGCACUGUAAUAAAAUCUCGGUCAGUGACUCGGUGACUAGGUAGCAUAAUGAGGUCAGAAGAUUGCCCAACAUCUAUGGAAAAAUGACUUGAUUGAUGAACCAGCUAUAUUUAACAGGUUGGCUUUAUUGGAGAACUGUUAAACAUUUGAUAUUCAUAAUGUUCGCAAGGCUUUUAAGAAAAUAGUUUUCAUUGCACUGGCGACAAUUCGGAAUGGCGAGGUGCGAAUGAAUCGGAUUAAAAGUCAGCGUGGAAAUGCAAUAGUUCCGCAGCUGGCAAGAAAUGAGAGGACGAUUGGUGAUGAGACAAUUUAUUCUAAUCGCUGUAACUCAUGGACACGUCGACAUUCGUGGUAAUCAAACUUAGAACGUCUGCAAUGCGAAAUUUUUCACCAAUAUAAAGGAAAGCUGCAAACAUAUUUUCAGCAUUUUUAAUAAAAAAAUAAGCGCGUUCAUUCCCUUCAACCAAUUGUUAACGCGAGGCCCCGUAGGAACCUUCCAUACGUCACUGUUAUUGUAGCUGACAGUGACUGUAAUUAUGGCUUACUUAGCCCAUGCUUAUCCAGAGCUGCCUUCUUGAUCCCCGCCCUAAAAACUAUCAUCUUCAAAAGCUUCCAGGUUUGUUGUGGUCGUAGAACAGCAGACGACGAAGUUCAAAGCGGCAUUGUACCAUCGGGCAGAAUCCAAACGGUUGAUGCAUUGAAAAUGUCGGAGCUCUGUUGAUGAAUUUUCACCAGCACUCUUCCACAAGACGCGCGCGAAGCAAACGAUAGCAAAGGAGAUAUGGACUUGAAUUGGUUGUUUACCACCCGUGGCUUUCCCGCAUCCCAGGAUUAGUCUUGUACACCUUUUGCACUUGUACAGAGCGUUCGGGAACGAAAUUAGUUGUGGAUGGGUUUGCUGUUGACAAGCAAGGGAAGGAUUUUUACUACCAAACUAGAUAGGAAUGAAAUUUGUUGUGGCUGGUUUGGUUGUUGACAAGCAAGGGAAGGAUUUUUUUACCAAAGUAGACAGGAUAUUUAUUCUUAAUCCCACAAUGUCUUGACUACAAAUCAUGCUGAAUUAGAAUAGUAUGUUGAUCGAGGCUGGGUGCCAAAGCAAUGGAUGAUAAUUGUAAGCGCGAUUGGAAAUAUCCAUGAUUUAUUAACGUUCUCUCAUGUUACGGUAUUUUAUUAAAGACAAAUUGAAGUGUA